RNAcentral lists this ribosomal RNA (292 nucleotides) under uncultured bacterium. Its description in RNAcentral is "partial 16S ribosomal RNA". It matches the Rfam family "Bacterial small subunit ribosomal RNA", at positions 505 to 796 of the family's 1533-position model. The record is from RNAcentral.
GUGCCAGCCGCCGCGGUAAUACAGAGGGUGCAAGCGUUAAUCGGAAUUACUGGGCGUAAAGCGCGCGUAGGCGGCUAAGUAAGUCGGGUGUGAAAGCCCCGGGCUCAACCUGGGAACUGCAUUCGAUACUGUUUGGCUAGAGUAUGAGAGAGGGAGGUAGAAUUCCACGUGUAGCGGUGAAAUGCGUAGAUAUGUGGAGGAAUACCGGUGGCGAAGGCGGCCUCCUGGCUCAAUACUGACGCUGAGGUGCGAAAGCGUGGGGAGCAAACAGGAUUAGAUACCCUAGUAGUCC